This 900-nucleotide long non-coding RNA is filed under the name Vulpes vulpes (red fox). Its description in RNAcentral is "lncRNA (ENSVVUG00000028453.1)". Lineage: Eukaryota; Metazoa; Chordata; Mammalia; Carnivora; Canidae. The record is from RNAcentral.
AUGCGGCCCAAGAACCAGUCCCCGGUGCCCCUGGGACAGGUCCCUGCUGGCAUGCCAUCUCCUCCAACCAUCAGAUGCCUCCUCCCUUGGUGGGGGUGGUGGGCGGGCGAAGGGAGGGUUGGAAUGACCAGACUUCUAUCCUGCCCCCCACCCCGGCCCACCACCCCAGUUCUCUUGUCUCGUCCACUGGGUGUUAGCCACAGCCUGUCCCCAGGCCUCACGGCNCCCCCCCCCGCACCACCCCAGUUCUCUUGGCUCGUCCACUGGGUGUUAGCCACAGCCUGUCCCCAGGCCUCACGGCUGGUUUGGGGGCUGCCACCUAGGCCCGUUGCUUCUCCUUCACCUCUUCAUGUCACUGCUCAUCUCCACGAACCACCUUCCACCGAAAACCGCGCUGCAGGUGAGACUGGGCUCUGUGCCUUUCCUUGUGUGUGCGUAGCUCUUCUGCAGUGCUGGCCCGGUGGGAAUUCUAAUUUCCUGCCUCUCCUGCAGGUCAGCCCUGUCCUCGGCACGCUGGCCGUGACCUGGCUGGGUCAGCUGAAGAACCGGAUGGAAGAGGCAGAAAGAAGCCCCCGGAGGAGCGCCGCCCUGUACCACCCAGCCUUCCUUGAUGAUGGUCACCUGGCAUCUCAUGCCCAGCCCUGUGCCUCUUCACUUCUUCCUGCUUUGGGUUGGAAGACGCCAUCUGGAAUCCUCCGUGGAAGGAGAGACCUGGACGCCCGACUCAGCACCCUCCGGCUUUCAAAUCCCUCCGCAGCCACAGGGACACCCUGCACACGUUCCCGCGGGACAGGCCGGACCCAAAGACUCUGGACCAGGGCCGCCCCCUGCGAGGAGGGGCAUGCCCUCCCGGCCUCUCCUUGCAUAGCCACCCGCCCUCUGACUGAUGGACUACACUGA